Long non-coding RNA from Cyprinus carpio carpio, 402 nucleotides. Lineage: Eukaryota; Metazoa; Chordata; Actinopteri; Cypriniformes; Cyprinidae. The record is from Ensembl.
UGAAAAUGGCAAAAACGACACUAAUUUUGCAGAGAAAAUUCAAAAUAACUGACUUCCUGUUGGGAUUCGAAUUUCGUACCAAGAGACUUUUUUGUAGGUAUUGGUGUGUUACAUGUGUGUACCGAUUUUUGUACAUGUACGUGAAACGUAGCUCGAGGCGCACGCCGUUGAAAAUGUAUAGGUGGCGCUAUCGAGGCAUUUUGCCACACCCAAUGGAAUAUUGGCCUUCAGAUGUGUUCAGGCCAGGACUCUUAUCGAACAUGUGAAGUUUGGGCAAGAUCAGACAUUUUAUGCCUGAGUUACAAUAACUUUUAUUCCCAUGGCGAGACAUCGAACUUUGUGACGGCGCCAUGGACACACCCUUUAACGAAAACUCAAGAUCUUCACAAUUUAACAUCGCAC